CUGAUGGGAAAAAAAUCUACCUGUAAAUGUUUAAAAUUUUAUUUUUUGGUAUGUGUUUCCCAAUUUAUGGUGACAUCUCUCUCCUUUCAAAGGAUCAACUAUUCCUAUCUGCAAUACACAGUAUCAGAAGACAGUACAAAAUGAACGUUACUGUAUUUAUUCGACUUCCAUCGUUGUGUACGUCUACACUACCCGCUGGAUCUAUCUAUUGGGGAUCGAUGUAUCGCGUCUCGUCUAGAUGUGAUACAUCAAUCCCUGAAUGCACUCCCCGUCGACUCUGGAACUCCACUAGGGUGAGAGACGGAAGCGGAGUUGAUGGGGGAGCGGCGGCCAUCGAUCCCACACCGCAAGGACGCGAAUAGGCUCAAGGCGGUGUACGUGGACAGGAGCGCCACGUGAUCCCUCACCUGAGACCGGGAGGUGCCCUUAACAAGCCAAUCAUCCAGAUAUUUCCCUAUCUGUACCCCCUUCCCACGAACAUGCAUUUUGUAAACACCCUGGGGGCAGUGGACUGCCCAAACAGAAGGACCGUAAAUUGGUAAUGAUUCUGUCUCACCACAAAAUGGAGGAAGCGCCUGUGCCCCUUGAAUAUGUGGAUGUAGAAGUACACAUCCUGUAGAUCGAGGGCAGCAUAAUGGUCCCUGGGAUCCAGGGAGCGGAUGAUGGAGGCCAGGGAGACCAUGCGGAACUUGAGUUUCCCCAUGUGCUGGUUCAGAACCCAGAGGUCCAGUAUGGGCCUGAGACCCCCUUUGGCCUUGGGAUAAGGAAAUAAUGGGAGUAGUACGCCUUGCCCAUGAACUCCUCAGACACUGCCUCUAUUGCUCCUAGUCCUAGGAGCCACCUCAUCUCCUGCUCGAGCAGGGCUUCGUGUGAGGGGUCCCCCAGGAGGGAUGGGGGCACGGGGUGGUUGGGCGAGGAGGAAGUAAACUGGAGGGUAUAACCCCAGCAAAUGGUGUUGAGGACCCAUCGGUCCAAAGU
Gopherus flavomarginatus (Mexican gopher tortoise) is the source of this 978-nucleotide long non-coding RNA. RefSeq lists it as uncharacterized. The transcript is spliced from 3 exons. Lineage: Eukaryota; Metazoa; Chordata; Testudines; Testudinidae. The record is from RefSeq and is a predicted model, not a curated record.